Molecule: ribosomal RNA, 592 nt
Filed under: Elaphe quadrivirgata (Japanese four-lined ratsnake)
Lineage: Eukaryota; Metazoa; Chordata; Lepidosauria; Squamata; Colubridae
Description: partial 12S ribosomal RNA
Source: RNAcentral
AUAAUACUAACGGCGUAAAGCACGACUAAAAAUAAGUUAAAACAUUAGGAACAAAGCAAAACUGGGCCGUAAAAAGCCAUAAGUCACACUAACUACCUAACAACAGACAACUUCCACUCGUGAAAGUUAAGAUACAAACUAAGAUUAGAUACCUUACUAUGCCUAACCAUAACAUAACAAUCAAACUACCUAUUGUUCGCCAAAUAACUACGAGUAAAAACUUAAAAUUUAAAAGACUUGACGGUGCCUCAAAACAACCUAGAGGAGCCUGUCUAAUAACCGAUACCCCACGAUUAACCCAACCCACCCUAGCCUAAUCAGUCUAUAUACCGCCGUCGCCAGCCUACCUUGUGAAAGAAACAAAGUCAGCUCAAUAGUACUACACUAAUACGACAGGUCGAGGUGUAACUUAUGGGGGGGUCCAAGAUGGGCUACAUUUUCUAAACCAGAAAAUACGAAUUAACCAAUGAAAAAGAAAUUGAAGGCGGAUUUAGCAGUAUACUGAGAACAACAAACUCUAUAGAAACUAUCGCAAUGAGGUGCGUACACACCGCCCGUCAUCCCUGUAAAUCAAAUACAAAAAAUAUAUAAA